AUUGAACGCUGGCGGCAGGCCUAACACAUGCAAGUCGAGCGGAGCGGCGGACGGGUGAGUAAUGCCUAGGAAUCUGCCUGGUAGUGGGGGGUAACGUCCGGAAACGGGCGCUAAUACCGCAUACUAUCAGAUGAGCCAGGGUCGGAUUAGCUAGUUGGUGGGGUAAAGGCCUACGAAGGCGACGAUCCGUAACUGGUCUGAGAGGAGGAUCAGUCACACUGAAACUGAGACACGGUCCAGACUCCUCCGGAAGGCAGGAGUGGGGAAUAUUGAACAAUGAGCGAAAGCCUGAUCCAGCCAUGCCGGGUGUGUGAAGAAGGUCUUCGGAUUGUAAAGCACUUUAAGUUGGGAGGCGUUACCAACAAAAAAGGCACCGGCUAACUUCGUGCAAGCGGCCGCGGUAAUA
Molecule: ribosomal RNA, 406 nt
Filed under: uncultured bacterium
Lineage: Bacteria
Description: partial 16S ribosomal RNA
Rfam family: Bacterial small subunit ribosomal RNA
Source: RNAcentral